RNAcentral lists this small RNA (172 nucleotides) under Vigna angularis var. angularis. RNAcentral's name for it is "Non-protein coding transcript". The record is from RNAcentral. Lineage: Eukaryota; Viridiplantae; Streptophyta; Magnoliopsida; Fabales; Fabaceae.
CAGCAGAAGAAAUGAGUAGCUAAAAUAUUGAGUGAGUGGUUAGAGCUUGAGACUGACAAUGGACGGUCUAGUUCAGCUGCAGAAGAACCUCGUUGAUUACACUGCUUCUCUAUUUCAUGAGGGUUUUUUAGAUGAACAAUUUAACCAGCUUCAGCAACUUCAAGAUGAAAGU